GGUUAAGCGACUAAGCGUACACGGUGGAUGCCCUGGCAGUCAGAGGCGAUGAAGGACGUGCUAAUCUGCGAUAAGCGUCGGUAAGGUGAUAUGAACCGUUAUAACCGGCGAUUUCCGAAUGGGGAAACCCAGUGUGAUUCGUCACACUAUCAUUAACUGAAUCCAUAGGUUAAUGAGGCGAACCGGGGGAACUGAAACAUCUAAGUACCCCGAGGAAAAGAAAUCAACCGAGAUUCCCCCAGUAGCGGCGAGCGAACGGGGAGCAGCCCAGAGCCUGAAUCAGUGUGUGUGUUAGUGGAAGCGUCUGGAAAGGCGCGCGAUACAGGGUGACAGCCCCGUACACAAAAAUGCACAUAUUGUGAGCUCGAUGAGUAGGGCGGGACACGUGGUAUCCUGUCUGAAUAUGGGGGGACCAUCCUCCAAGGCUAAAUACUCCUGACUGACCGAUAGUGAACCAGUACCGUGAGGGAAAGGCGAAAAGAACCCCGGCGAGGGGAGUGAAAAAGAACCUGAAACCGUGUACGUACAAGCAGUGGGAGCCUCUUUUAUGGGGUGACUGCGUACCUUUUGUAUAAUGGGUCAGCGACUUAUAUUCUGUAGCAAGGUUAACCGAAUAGGGGAGCCGAAGGGAAACCGAGUCUUAACUGGGCGUUAAGUUGCAGGGUAUAGACCCGAAACCCGGUGAUCUAGCCAUGGGCAGGUUGAAGGUUGGGUAACACUAACUGGAGGACCGAACCGACUAAUGUUGAAAAAUUAGCGGAUGACUUGUGGCUGGGGG
RNAcentral lists this ribosomal RNA (778 nucleotides) under Escherichia coli. RNAcentral describes it as "partial 23S ribosomal RNA". It matches the Rfam family "Bacterial large subunit ribosomal RNA", at positions 1 to 821 of the family's 2925-position model. Lineage: Bacteria; Pseudomonadati; Pseudomonadota; Gammaproteobacteria; Enterobacterales; Enterobacteriaceae. The record is from RNAcentral.